Molecule: ribosomal RNA, 467 nt
Filed under: uncultured bacterium
Lineage: Bacteria
Description: partial 16S ribosomal RNA
Rfam family: Bacterial small subunit ribosomal RNA
Source: RNAcentral
GACGAACGCUGGCGGCGUGCUUAACACAUGCAAGUCGAACGAUGACACCCGAACUUGCUGGGUCUGAGGAGGGGCGGACGGGGGAGGAAGACGUGAGCAACCUGCCCUUCACUCUGGGGGAACCUCGGGAAGGCGGGGCUACGACAGGAUAUGAGAUCCUGUCCCGGGGCGGGCGUUGGAAAGUCUUUCGGUGAGGGAUGGGCUGGCGGGCUAUCGGUUUGUUGGGGUGGUGGGGGAUAACCAAGGCGAGGGCGGGUAGCGUCCCUGUGCGGCUGACCGGCGACCCUGGGCCCGAGGGACGGCCCCGACUCCUACGGUAGGCAGCAGUGCGGAAGCUUGCACAAUGGGCGCAGGCCUGAUGCAGCAGCGCCGCGUGUGGUAUGACCGCUUUCUGGUUGUAGACCUCUUUCAGCUGGAAAGAAGCGAGAGUGACGGUACCUGAAGAAGAAGCGCCGGCUAACUACGUG